Molecule: ribosomal RNA, 419 nt
Filed under: uncultured bacterium
Lineage: Bacteria
Description: bacterial SSU rRNA
Rfam family: Bacterial small subunit ribosomal RNA
Source: RNAcentral
GAUGAACGCUGGCGGCGUGCCUAAUACAUGCAAGUCGAACGCAUUGUGGUUGAAAUGAUAUGAAGAACUUGUUCAGAUUUGAUUUUAAACAUUGCAAUGAGUGGCGAACGGGUGAGUAACACGUGGGAAACCUACCUCUUAGCAGGGGAUAACAUUUGGAAACAAAUGCUAAUACCGUAUAAAUAAUUAAAACCGCAUGGUUUUAGUUUAAAAGAUGGUCUUGCUAUCACUAAGAGAUGGUCCCGCGGUGUAUUAGUUAGUUGGUGAGGUAAUGGCUCACCAAGACAAUGAUACAUAGCCGAGUUGAGAGACUGACCGGCCACAAUGGGACUGAGACACGGCCCAUACUCCUACGGGAGGCAGCAGUAGGGAAUCUUCCACAAUGGACGAAAGUCUGAUGGAGCAACGCCGCGUGUGUG